This is a long non-coding RNA of Cygnus olor (mute swan), 384 nucleotides long. RefSeq lists it as uncharacterized. Lineage: Eukaryota; Metazoa; Chordata; Aves; Anseriformes; Anatidae. The record is from RefSeq and is a predicted model, not a curated record. The transcript is spliced from 3 exons.
AACACAUCAGAUUGCCUAGCAUGGACAUGAAUAAUUGAAGAACACCAUCACGGCAGCAGUCCUCCCAAGGGGCUUUUCCAACACCUUGUUAUUAGCUGUUGGAUUGCAUGGGCAGACACACUUUCUGGCAUCACAAAGAGGACACUCGGCCAUCUGGACCUGCUCUACAUCAAGCACAACUCUGAGGCCACUCAGACCGUCAUGGAGAUACCAGGACUGUGUUAGAAGACAGGACUACUAAUAUAGAGCUGGACAACGUCUGGGAUGAUGUAGAGUGCAAAACUGAUCUCCCUCAGCACCAGCAGAACCAAAUCCCACCAACAGGUGUAGAGCAACAUGCCGCUGCUGUCUGGACUGAACAUCCUUCUGCCACUGACUGGAUGA